Molecule: long non-coding RNA, 746 nt
Organism: Rosa rugosa (rugosa rose)
Lineage: Eukaryota; Viridiplantae; Streptophyta; Magnoliopsida; Rosales; Rosaceae
Exons: 2
Source: RefSeq, a predicted model, not a curated record
GUCUGGAGGUACCGAGCGCUCUCGAUCUUUCUCGGUGCCUGAUGACCCGCGACCAGGCCCGAACGUAUUUUCGCCGUCCGGCCACCGAUCCCUGACGGACGACCACCAUCUGCUUCAUCUCCGCGUCGCCUACCUCCCUACAUCCUCAGAUCGUCCAUGCACUGACGAUCAACGGAGCAGCAACGACGGGAAGCCCCGAGCUUUCUCCGGCCACCUCUGCAACUUCCGGCGACCGAUUAAGCUGCAUUUGCCACGGCUCCGCCGUGUUCUUCGACACCGGAGACAUUUCGGGCACUUCUGGGCUUAGUUUCCAUCUCGAGUUCACCUGUAGACGAGGAAUUAAGAGGCUUGCUGGGUUGUUGGCAUCAAAAUCUUCAGCUCAGCAACAUUCCAGUUCCGGCAAGAGGUUCUGUAAACCUGAGCUUGAUCAGCGUAGAGUUUUGAAGGUAUAAUUUCAAACCUUGAAUUGAAAGGCUGUUCUUGUGACGAAUUCGAACAUGUGGGCUGAAGGGUUCUUGAAUUAUUUCCGUCUUGGUAUUUUGGUUACUGUUGCCGGUUGGUUUUGGUUGAAUUGUGUAGUUUUGGUGGUUUGACAAUAUGUUUGAACUGGGAGGACAGAUUGAAUGAAUUGUUGUGCUGUGGUUGAGAUUGAGAUAUCCUGGUUAUAAGUUUGAAUGCAUAGGCAGAAUGGGUUGUCGUGUAUUUAUUUGAAUGGACUUGGAUGAUCAAGUUUAUGUUUUGUUAGC